AUUUUUAUAAGUAAAAUCUGCUCCAUGUAACAUAAAUAGCCGCAGAAUAACUGUGCUAAGGUAGCAUAAUCAUUAGUCUUCUAAUUUAAGACUAGAAUGAAAGAUUUAACAUUUUAAUUUAUUUUUUUUAUUUUAUAAACUUAAAUUUAAUUAAGAAUAAAAAUGUUCUUAUUUCUAAAAAAGACGACAAGACCCUAUUGAACUUUACUUAUGUUAAGCUGGGGAAGCUAUUUAAAUAUAAUUUUAAUAUAAUUUUAUAAAUAAGUAUUCCAAUAAAAUUGAUUUAACAAGUUACCAUAGGGAUAACAGCGUAAUAAUUUUAAAAAGUUCUUAUUUAAAAAAAAGAUUACGACCUCGAUGUUGAAUUAAUUAAUCUAUAAAGCGAAACCGUUUAAAAGAAGGUCUGU
RNAcentral lists this ribosomal RNA (407 nucleotides) under Kaestneria pullata. RNAcentral's name for it is "partial 16S ribosomal RNA". Lineage: Eukaryota; Metazoa; Arthropoda; Arachnida; Araneae; Linyphiidae. The record is from RNAcentral.